GAGGGUAUGGCUCAGUGGCAGAGCACUUGUUUUGGAGGCACGAGAUCCUGGGUUCAAUCCCCAGUACCUCCA
Molecule: transfer RNA, 72 nt
Filed under: Camelus bactrianus (Bactrian camel)
Lineage: Eukaryota; Metazoa; Chordata; Mammalia; Artiodactyla; Camelidae
Also listed under: 1 other name
Rfam family: tRNA
About the family: Transfer RNA (tRNA) molecules are approximately 80 nucleotides in length. Their secondary structure includes four short double-helical elements and three loops (D, anti-codon, and T loops). Further hydrogen bonds mediate the characteristic L-shaped molecular structure. tRNAs have two regions of fundamental functional importance: the anti-codon, which is responsible for specific mRNA codon recognition, and the 3' end, to which the tRNAs corresponding amino acid is attached (by aminoacyl-tRNA synthetases). tRNAs cope with the degeneracy of the genetic code in two manners: having more than one tRNA (with a specific anti-codon) for a particular amino acid; and 'wobble' base-pairing, i.e. permitting non-standard base-pairing at the 3rd anti-codon position.
Source: Rfam by way of RNAcentral